Molecule: transfer RNA, 60 nt
Filed under: Paragyrodactylus variegatus
Lineage: Eukaryota; Metazoa; Platyhelminthes; Monogenea; Gyrodactylidea; Gyrodactylidae
Description: tRNA-Ser
Source: RNAcentral
GUGUUGUUUUAAUACUUAGUUUGAAGCUAAGUUUACUAAAAUUUAUUUUUAGGCAACAUU